AUUUCUAAAAUUUGUAAGUCACUUUGGAUAAAAGCAUCUGCUAAAUGACUAAAU
Non-coding RNA from Larimichthys crocea (large yellow croaker), 54 nucleotides. NCBI's taxonomy places the organism in Eukaryota, Metazoa, Chordata, Actinopteri, Sciaenidae. The record is from Rfam.